UCCUACGGGAGGCAGCAGUGAGGAAUUUUCUGCAAUGGGCGAAAGCCUGACAGAGCAAUACCGCGUGAGGGAUGAAGGCCUACGGGUUGUAAACCUCUUUUCUCAAGGAGGAAGAUCUGACGUUACUUGAGGAAUAAGCAUCGGCUAACCCUGUGCCAGCAGCCGCGGUAAUACAGGGGAUGCAAGUGUUAUCCGGAUUCAUUGGGCGUAAAGCGUCUGCAGGUUGAUAUAUAAGUCUGUUGUUAAAUCUUUGGGCUUAACCCAAAAUCUGCAAAAGAAACUAUAUAUCUUGAGUAUGGUAGAGGUAAAGGGAAUUUCCAGUGGAGCGGUGAAAUGCGUAGAUAUUGGAAAGAACACCAAUUGCGAAGGCACUUUACUGGGCCAGUACUGACACUCAGAGACGAAAGCUAAGGGAGCAAACAGGAUUAGAUACCCUGGUAGUCUUAGCCGUAAACGAUGGAUACUAGAUGUUGUGUACUUUUUAGUAUGCAGUGUCGUAGCUAACGCGAUAAGUAUCCCGCCUGGGAAGUAUGCUCGCAAGAGUGAAACUCAAAGGAAUUGACGGGAGCCCGCACCAGCGGUGGAUUAUGUGGUUUAAUUCGAUGCAACACGAAGAACCUUACCAGGACUUGACAUGGAGAGAAGUUCUCUGAAAGGAGAAUGUGCUACGGCCUCUUACACAGGUGGUGCAUGGCUGUCGUCAGCUCGUGUCGUGAGAUGUUGGGUUAAGUCCCGCAACGAGCGCAACCCUUGUUUCUAGUUAAUUUUCUAGAAAGACUGCUGAUUAUAAAUCAGAGGAAGGUGAGGACGACGUCAAGUCAUCAUGCCCCUUACGUCCUGGGCUACACACGUACUACAAUGGAUAUGACAAAAAGUUGCCAGUUUGCGAAAACGAGCUAAUCUCUAAACAUAUCCUUAGUUCAGAUUGUAGGCUGCAACUCGCCUACAUGAAGGUGGAAUCGCUAGUAAUCGCAGGUCAGCUAUACUGCGGUGAAUCCGUUCCCGGGCUUUGUACACACCGCCCGUCACACCAUGGGAGUUAAUCAUACCCGAAGUUAUUUCCCUUAAAAGAAAUACCUAAGGUAGGAUUGAUGACUGGGGUGAAGUCGUAACAAGGUAGCCGUACUGGAAGGUGCGGCUGGAUUACCUCC
Molecule: ribosomal RNA, 1151 nt
Filed under: uncultured bacterium
Lineage: Bacteria
Description: bacterial SSU rRNA
Rfam family: Bacterial small subunit ribosomal RNA
Source: RNAcentral